Dromaius novaehollandiae (emu) is the source of this 2567-nucleotide long non-coding RNA. RefSeq lists it as uncharacterized. The transcript has 3 exons. The record is from RefSeq and is a predicted model, not a curated record. NCBI's taxonomy places the organism in Eukaryota, Metazoa, Chordata, Aves, Casuariiformes, Dromaiidae.
CAUAAAUGGGUUUGGGUUUGGGUUUUUUUUUGGUUGAGUGGCUUUUUUUGGUGUGUCCCAUAGGCAGUAGUUCUAAUACUUCUAAUAAACAACUUCUUCCCUCUUUUUCUGUGAUGCUGAAGACUUUAUUCUAGUUGUACAGCAGCUGAAGUGCCACUGCAGGGCCUUUAUCAUCUGAUUAUUUUGGCUUAUGUGAAAGAUUACUUUUCUCACUCCCUCAGGGCCUGCCCUCUGUGACUCACAGGCUGCCCUCUCCUUUUAAACCUUGUAUGGACUUCCAGAAAUGUGGAGGCUUUGAGACCGUGUUCUUCCAAAGUGCAACAGAGACAACAGAAUAAAGGACGCUGCUCUCCAGGACUUUAGCCCUCAAAUCCUGUGCACCAGAUCCAGAUGUUUGGGGAGUUCAUCUUAAGGAAAAAAAUGCAAGUCCAUGGCAAGAAUUCACCUCACAGAAUCACCAAGCCUGGACUAUGUAAUAUGAAACAGAAUUGAUUUCCAAUUACUUGUCACCUGUGAUACAUCGGAAGAAGGAUGGAGAUGCUUUGAUGAACAUGACACUUUCUCUUCAGUGCCAGAGGUGUGCGUUGUGGCAGUUCAAAGCCACAGAAAUGAAGAGGAAGGUCCCCAGAGACCAGAGGAUGAGCUAGCUGCAUGGGAGGUGCAAAACUGCGUUUAGAAACCUGCUCACGUAGGCAGCUGCAGAGACAGAAGAAAAGCCACUAAGGUAAUCGACAGAGGGUGGUGCUGCUGCAGUAAGUACUGUCUGCAGAUCACUCAUGGGAAAUGCUAUUGGGCUCCUUACAUGGCUCCUGGGCCUUUCUCUGCAAAAUGCAACAGCUGAUCACGGUGAAUGAAACAAGACCAGGACCCGGAACACCUGAUCUGAAGUCUUUGACCUGCAUCUCUCUAAUCCAGUUUUGUCACAAUGCCUUUACAGAGCAGCUAAUCUUUGCAAUAUGAAGAUCCUGGCUCUAAUACCAGAGGUUAGCAAAAGUAAUCUGUCUAGGUCAGGCUGCAGUGCCUGUGAGGGCUGGCUGGAAAGUUUCCAAAAGCUGAUCGCUUCCAAUCUGUGCUUCAUCUUAAGCCGUGAUGACCCUGUUGUGUUGCCUGGUGUCCCAGCAGAAACAGUAUUGCUAUUGCUAGCAAAAGGCCACUUUGCCUUAUGCUAACUUUGCAAGGCUAAAGCAUGAGGCUUGUUAUCAGCAAGCUGGGAGAGCUUGCUGUGUGAAAUGGAACUGGAUACCAGGUGUCUCUGGUUAUUAUGUGGAGUUUAAGUGUGGGAUAAUUAACAAAGGCCUUGAAAAUGUGGGCACAGGAUGAAAAUGGAGGCCUCAGGGCUAUAAACAACUCCCUGAUGGUCAGCUGCUGGUCACUGAAGAAAUGCAACCUUGAGAGGUGGGAGAGAUUGGUUUAAGCACAACAACAGCUAAGCAAGAAAACAGCUGAGCAAUAGGAUAAGGUUCCUGACCUGGUCUGGGAAAGCAGCACCCUCAAGCAACAGGUAAUCCACAGAGCGGAGGCCAGAGACUAAGAACCUGCCUAGAGAUUCAAACAUCUUAUCAAAGGAUAAAAUAGGACUGGAUAAAAUAGGAAUAUGUAAGCAUAAUCCAUCACAUAAGCACAUCCCAUGACGCAUCCAGCACCAGCAACUGUGAGCACGCUCGUCUCUUUUGGGUUUGUGCCACACAAGCAGUUUAAAAUGUUAUAAAUAUUUUAAAUGAGCUGCUCACUUUAUUAUUUGUUUAUAGCGUACAGGCCUCGGAGCAAAGGCGAUUCCCAUGGCUGGUGUCUCAGGCAGAAGUGACUGCUUGGCUCCCGCCCAGGAAAAGCUCUGCCAUCCCUGGCCUACAGGCUGUUGCCCUGUGUUAUCUUACCAUGCGCCUGGCUGUAAGUGAGAUCAGUUCAGUAGUGAUUUCCUGGCUGAGCAGUUGCCGAUAUAAAAUCCAUUCCCCCUUGUAUAGCCAGGGAAGAGUUGAAGACUUCUCUACUUCUCCAGGCCUUUUGAUAGCCUGGUUGUGCAAACCUAUGGAUUAAAUGCAAGAUGGGAAAGGCAAGUUACACCUCCAUGUUGGGCAAAAACUUUUCCGAGAUUAAGGAUGAAGCUCAGGGGUUAAGGAUGAAGCUCAGCUUAUUUCCUUGUACAAGGCCUUGGAGGUCAUGGCUUGGCAUGCCAUCUCUUCCCUGGGGUUUAGCACACAUGGUGCCUUUCCCAGAUCUUGCUUUUGAAGAAGGAUGAAACUUUCCAAGCUGUUAAAGGCCAGAUCCUGGUGUCAUGUUGCCAGUGAAAUCUCCGCUGGUUUUCAGGGUGCAAAGCUUUCAGCAGUUUCUGUUUUCAGCAUGGAUCCUAGGAAGCUCAGGCUGCCUCUGCAGCCCCGUUCCCUGUGCCUGUACAGCCUUCCUGCACCACAGCUAUUCCCUCAGACCUGGCUGCUAGCACAGGCUCUUAGCCAAAAGGAGGUUUUAAACCUAGUGCAGAGAUAAAAGGCCACUGCCUGCUCGCUGGGUUAGUUUUAACUAAACAAUCCCCCCCGAAUAUUAAUGGUCAUUAAAUCAUUUUGUUGAUUCUU